RNAcentral lists this ribosomal RNA (253 nucleotides) under uncultured bacterium. Its description in RNAcentral is "partial 16S ribosomal RNA". It matches the Rfam family "Bacterial small subunit ribosomal RNA", at positions 524 to 776 of the family's 1533-position model. The record is from RNAcentral.
UACGUAGGGUGCGAGCGUUAAUCGGAAUUACUGGGCGUAAAGUGUGCGCAGGCGGCCGAGCAAGUCGAGUGUGAAAGCCCCGAGCUUAACUUGGGAACUGCGCUCGAAACUACUUGGCUAGAGUGUGGCAGAGGGAGGUGGAAUUCCACGUGUAGCGGUGAAAUGCGUAGAGAUGUGGAGGAACACCGAUGGCGAAGGCAGCCUCCUGGGCCAGCACUGACGCUCAUGCACGAAAGCGUGGGGAGCAAACAGG